Molecule: long non-coding RNA, 1015 nt
Filed under: Ananas comosus (pineapple)
Lineage: Eukaryota; Viridiplantae; Streptophyta; Magnoliopsida; Poales; Bromeliaceae
Description: long non-coding RNA (ACOM_LNC008969)
Source: RNAcentral
CGUCAAACCAAACGCUAGAAAAAUGAUUUUCAACUGAAAAAAAUUUUUCUGACUAUUUCUACGGGGAACCAAACGCCCCCUAAGUAAAAAGUAAAGAUCGCGUAAAAUCUCCAUUCUAACUCAUUUUCCCCCAAAACCUGACGAGUGCUUUUAUAAUUAAAAUAUACACAAAAAUAUCGUCAAUAGAGAGUUUAACUAUACUGCGAAAAUCUCAGUCCUUACAUAACGUUUUCAGGCAGAUCUCAUCUAUCACGAGACACGUGUCAAUAGCAAUGGGAGGGGAAUUCGGGCCCACGAUCUGCGCGGCUGAUUAAUAAGUCCGAAUUCACUUCAUCAACUCAACUGGAUCUGUAAAGUAGCACCACAAGUUUGGGCACACGAUUUCCUUGUUUUGGGUGCCUGAAACUUGCCAGAAUCUUAGUCUUAGCUUAUUUCGAUGCUCCGAAUUCGUUUUCGCGUCUAUUUUGUGCUGAAACGACUCUAAUUCAUCUCGAGACUCUCCAGAUGUGUUAACCAGCUAACACUAAUGUCGUGAAUUCGACUUCCACUCCCUCGGGGUAUCACGUAGAACUUGGCUAAUUUUGCAUUUGGAUGAAAAUUGAGUUAUUUUAAAAAAUAAGACAAAUAGCGUUUAGAUUGAUAAGAUAGAAUAAGAAGAAUAAUGGAUAGAUAUAAAUAGAAAAUAACGAUAUUAUCCGUCUUAUUACAUUUGAAUUUGAGUUUUUAAAUUUUAUAUUUAAAUUUUUAAAUUUUAUAUUUGAAUUUUUAAAUUUUAAAUUUUAUUUUUUAAAUCUUAAAAUUCAAAAUUAAAAUUUAAAAUAUCAAAUUUUUAAAUUUCAAAUUUAAAUUUGAUAUAAAAUUUAAAUUUGAAAAUUUAAAAUACCAAAUUUAAAAUUUAUAUUUUAAAAUUUUAAUUUUAAUUUAUUAAAUUUAAAUUUUAAAAUUUAAAAUUAAAAUUAAAAUUUUAGAAAAAGGGAGCCAGAGGAACAACUGUUUCAGGACAGAGAGCGAAUUG